Molecule: small RNA, 1348 nt
Filed under: Histoplasma ohiense
Lineage: Eukaryota; Fungi; Ascomycota; Eurotiomycetes; Onygenales; Ajellomycetaceae
Description: hypothetical lncRNA
Source: RNAcentral
GGCAUGCAUGGCCCUGGCAGCCAACCGGGUCAUUACGUUACUAGUAUAUUCAAAUUUUGACGAAAGGAACCAGUCCGCUGGGUCUCCUUGAAUUUUCUUGAACAAGCCAAUGGAAGCAGGGUUACCGCCUCCCAUUUUGAAUCACCUAAACAAUUCCUGGUGCUUUUGAAGAGCUCUCCGCUGGAUCUGCUAUCUUGAAAGCGUUAAUCCCAUUCUUCUCCCGGACGGCUUUCUUGGCCACAAAGGCUUGGUUCUUGAUUGAUAACCAAAUUGACUCUUAGUUGCGGAAAAUGUUCAAAAAUUAUGAGGCUACUUGGACCACGCGGUGAACUUAUAUAACCUCCAUCCCUUUCCCUCUAACUAGAGGACUCGGACUUAUACUUAUUCUAUUGACUGGGUUGCUUGGAAUGCGAAGCAAGCAAGCAACGAGCAGCGUUAAUUUUUGUGCUAAGUUCCAUCGCGUCUCAGCGUUCAGCGAACUCCGUCCUCCUCUGAAGAAAUAUGUAGUACUUCUGACGAUGGUUCCAAAAUGAGAUAGGAUUUUCGUUACAACAAUUUACAUCUACUAUCCUCCAAAACAGCAGCCCAUUGCUUGCCCAGGUUAGGCAUGGAUUUUCCAUCUGUGCAGACAUACCUGAGAAGAGCUUUUGACUCGCAUAAACGAUGAGGGUUAUCAAAUAACACAAGUCUAGGAUUUUCAUAAAUUGCAUAUUGAAAGUACCCCCGAAGCUAUAAGGUCUGCGAUCAUGAGAGCUCCGACGUUGAGAUCGGAAAGGGCACGAUUGAGACACGGCCAUUAAGUUGGUGAAAAACGGGCUAUUUAUGCCAGAUGGCGGGCAAUAUCUGUGGGAUAGAGAGGAGUGCAGAUGGCAUGACUGUUGUUAGGUGGCAAUAUAUUCCCGGACGCCCUUUCGCCGGGGUUUGACUGGACAAAACGGUUGAGGAUGAAGAAUUUAACGGCCUGGGAGACUACGAAGAGGAAGAAGGGAGUGGAACAGAUGCUGAAUAGGAAUGCAUUAUAGGGUUGGGUGAAACCGAGAUGAGUGUAAAUUGAUGACUCGACGAAGAAGGUAAGGGACCGAUGGUGAAAAGUUGGGCCUUCCCGAAAAGCGAUUGAUUCGAAAGAAUUGCAGGAUUGCCAGCUGGCUCAUUGACGAAAUGCUGGUCAGCUAUUUCUAUUUCAACUGUUGGUCCUAUGGAGCUUCAUUCGUAACAAAAAUCCUCAGAGGAAAUGUUGGCAUGAUGCCCACCACCUGAUAAAGACCAGAGCCAACUAAUGGGGUCAAAUACACUGCGACAUGCAGUGAUGUUUGUAUCCUGCGAAAGUGCGGCCAUUUUAGUAGCACAG